Jatropha curcas is the source of this 2559-nucleotide non-coding RNA. The record is from RefSeq and is a predicted model, not a curated record. Lineage: Eukaryota; Viridiplantae; Streptophyta; Magnoliopsida; Malpighiales; Euphorbiaceae.
GGAGGAAACAAAACUGCCGCUUGCGGCAUGUCCAAACGCCAAGUCAUCACAUUUUUUCAUUCUCGGACAAGUUCCAAUUUUCCUCUCCACUUUCCUCUUUCUUUCUUCAACUUCUCUCUUUGUCGCUUAUUUAUCCAGAGCUGAUAUAGCACCAAAGGAAACAGAGAGUAUUAACCCAUUACCUUCUAAUUAGCAUACUCAAUGGUGACCCUCAAAGCAGGGACCAGGCCACCAUGGGUAGGACUUGGAGCAGCAGUCUGGGUCCAAAUUGCAUCUGGGAAUGCCUACAAUUUCCCUCUCUAUUCUCAUUCAUUGAAAUCUGUGCUUGGUUUUAACCAGCACCAGCUUACCAUGCUUGGUGUUGCUAAUGAUAUUGGUGAGAAUGUUGGACUCCUUCCUGGUUUUGCCUGCAACAAGUUCCCUCCUUGGGCCAUUCUUUUGAUUGGUGCUUUUGCGUGUUUCUUUGGUUAUGGUGUUCUUUGGCUUGCUCUUAGCCGUACUGUUCAGUCUAUUCCUUACUGGCAGCUAUGGCUUGCACUUUGUGUUGCCACUAAUAGUAGUGCUUGGUUGAGCACUGCCGUACUUGUGAUCAACAUGAGAAACUUUCCACUUAGUCGAGGUACAGUUGCUGGUAUUCUUAAAGGUUAUGGAGGGAUCAGCGCUGCAGUGUUUACUGCAGUUUACAGUAUGCUGCUUCACAAUUCCUCCUCUAAGCUUCUGAUGUUCCUUGCACUUGGAAUUCCUGUUCUGUGUUUGUUAGUGAUGUAUUUUGUGAGGCCUUGCACUCCAGCUUCUGGUGAAGACUCUUCAGAACAUGCCCAUUUUCUUUUUGCCCAAGCAGCUCUUGUUAUUCUGGGCGUAUAUAUCCUAAUUACCACAAUAUUGGAUCACAUGUUUCAUUUGAGUGAUCCUUUAUCUUACAGUUCUCUAGUAGUAAUAGUUAUCCUUCUCAUGGCUCCACUUGCAAUACCCAUAAAGAUGACAUUUUAUCGCAAUAGGACCUGCAAAUUGGGGAUACUUAAUGGAUCAGUUGGGUCUUCAGACAGUCUAACACAGGAAGUUGGCAGUGCAGACAAAACUGAACCGUUGCUCAAUUCAACUUCAUCAGCAGUGACACUCGGCAGCUUUCAUGAAAGUGAUGAGACAUCUGAGGUGGCCAUGCUUCUAGCUGAGGGUGAGGGGGCAGUGAAGAAGAAAAGGAGGCCCAAAAGAGGGGAGGAUUUCAAAUUUAGUGAAGCUGUAAUCAAAGCUGAUUUCUGGCUUCUUUUUUUCGUUUACUUUGUUGGGGUUGGUUCUGGGGUAACUGUUCUGAAUAAUCUGGCCCAGAUAGGAAUUGCACAAGGUGUGCAUAAUACUACGAUCUUGUUGACUCUCUUCAGCUUUUGCAAUUUUGUUGGACGGCUUGGUGGUGGUACUGUUUCUGAACACUUUGUCAGGUCUAAAACAAUCCCUCGUACAAUAUGGAUGACAUGCACUCAAGUAAUAAUGAUCAUAACGUACCUGUUGUUUGCUUCUGCCAUUGAUGGUACCCUUUAUGCUGCAACUGCAUUGCUUGGGAUUUGCUAUGGGGUUCAGUUCUCUAUAAUGAUUCCCACAGUCUCUGAACUUUUUGGCUUGAAACAUUUCGGUAUAUUUUACAACUUCAUGUCACUAGGAAAUCCUCUUGGAGCAUUCCUUUUCUCAGGUCUCCUUGCAGGAUAUAUAUACGAUACUGAGGCAGCAAAACAGCAUGCUCUGGAUGCAUUGCUUAGCUCAAGCAUGUCUUGCAUUGGUCCGAAUUGCUUCAAGCUCACAUUCCUGGUUCUUGCUGGUGUCUGUGGUGUGGGUUCCAUCUUGAGCCUUAUUCUAACUAUGAGAAUAUGGCCUGUUUAUCAGAUGCUUUAUUCUGGUGGUUCCUUCAGGCUACCUCAAACUUCAACUCAUUAAGAUUAUUGAAGUGAUGCAUGGAAGUUUGAGGUCAUUUUAGGAGACCAUUCUAAUGAAGCGCAUGACAUUCUAACUGGAGCAACUCUUUUGGCUUGAAGAGAAUAGUUCUUUGUUAUUAUUAGUAAAUGUUGUUAACUGGAGAUCAGUUAAAGGGGUUCAUGGUAGAUUUUACCAAGACAACAUGCAAGGUGUACGUACCUAUAAUUCCUGUUGAAAAAUCGAAAAUGAUUCUCAUUUUCUUCCUCCUGUUAGUUGAAGUUGUUGACUAGUAGUAUAAUAUCAGUUGUGGGGUUUGGAGUUGGCCGUGUAAUGAAGCAUGCAUGUAUUAGGGGUGGGAAGGUGAUUCAGAAUAACAGUUGUUAGAGCAGUAGUUGGUGUAUUUUUCAGCAGAACAAACUUCCUUCAUAACAGUUGCUAUAGAUGAAAAUUCAACAUUCAUAACAGUUGUUACAAAUAUUUAUUCAGUAGCAGCUAGAAAAACAGAAACCAACGAACUGAUAUGAGGUUCUUUUAAUACUGGAUUUAGUUAGCAGUUGCAGUGAGUAUCAAUAACCAUGAAAGUGUAUCUGCCUGCUUGAACUGCUAUUUACUACAAAAAAAAUUUAAAUGCAUUUACAAUUUGUUGGUGCUUCA